ACAAACUUGGUCAUUUAGAGGAAGUAAAAGUCGUAACAAGGUUUCCGUGCAAGUCUGCUGGAACAGUGAUUCCUUCCGCAGUGUACACUUACCGAAGCCUCUGCAGCCGUGCAAGCGGUAGGCCCGAGCGACUCGAAACAAGUCGGUGCCGUUGCAAGUCCCAGGUCUCGCCUGGGGCGACACUCUCGAAUUGACGGGAACACCCUAAAGCCAGUCGCACCAAGCCGCGGUGAGAAAUCGCGCGGUGGCUCAUUACCGAGUCCGGGCUCCCACGAGCCCAACUCCCACCCGUGUCUACCGUUACCGCGUUGCUUUGGCGGGCCCACUGGAACCCCACGGUUCCGGUCGCCGGAGGACUAUUGCCCUCGGGCCCGCGCCCGCCGAGCACCCCUGAACCCUGUGUGAAUAGUGAGUCUGAGUGUCUAUUGAAUCGUUAAAACUUUCAACAACGGAUCUCUUGGUUCCGGCAUCGAUGAAGAACGCAGC
This 486-nucleotide unclassified non-coding RNA is filed under the name uncultured fungus. RNAcentral's name for it is "partial contains internal transcribed spacer 1 and 5.8S ribosomal RNA". The stretch from base 438 to 486 matches the Rfam family "5.8S ribosomal RNA", at positions 1 to 49 of the family's 154-position model. Lineage: Eukaryota; Fungi. The record is from RNAcentral.